This 572-nucleotide long non-coding RNA is filed under the name Polistes fuscatus (common paper wasp). RNAcentral's name for it is "uncharacterized LOC122520406". Lineage: Eukaryota; Metazoa; Arthropoda; Insecta; Hymenoptera; Vespidae. The record is from RNAcentral.
UAUUAAAUAUAUUGAUCACGAUAAUCUUCUACCUUUACCGUCUUUAAUUUCUAAAAAAUCAAAUCAUCUUUCUUCGAUACAAAGUAUCGCGAAUAAAGAAAAUUAUGAAGUAAUUAAUGUUUCUUCGGAUGAAGGUAUCAAAGAAAUUGAUAUUUCUUCUGUUUUAAAAAAAUCAAUUGAGGUUAAAACAUAUCCACUGGCGGAACCAACAAAAUGAAAAAGAAACUUCUUGAGAAAUACGAUAUACGAUGAUUGGCCAUCAGAUUAUAAAGUAUCAACGCAUUAUGCUGACUUAUUAUCGAAUAAAUACGUGAAAGACCAUGCUGAUGAAUUUCCUACAACUUUUUCAAGCUUGCGCGAAUCGUCAAAUAAAUAAUGAAAAAUCUGAUAGAGAUGAGAAGACAAAUAAUAGCGCAACAUACAGUAUAGAAAAUGUUUAUCUCUUAAGUAGAUUCAUUAGAAAUGUUAAAUCUUCUCGAUGAAUAUCAAUUGAAGUUAUUCAAAUCAAAAACAUUGUGUAGUAUUAUGGGAACUGUAAAUAAAGAAAUGGAAUGAGAAUGAAAAAUGAGAAA